CCAUUUGAAUGACUCUCGCAACGGAGAAACCGGACUUGUGUGGCUCGCAGCAUAACUAUUUGGCGUUGCUUCUUCAGUGGCUGUGGCUCGGCCCCUGGCUCGGCAACCUCCAUGUCCCUGAAGCCCACACAGGAGCCGAAAGAUCACCUCGGAGGGGAUCAACUGAACAAGGUGCUGCAGAAACCUGCUGCACGGAUUUGGAGCCGGGGGGUGGGGUUUGGGGGCGGCGGGGGUGUUUUUGAAAUGCUGGCGGGAUGGGGACCUGUUGCACCCCAUGCCAGAGACCGUGCAGUCCAAACUGUGGCGCUGAUUUGAAGGAUGGCAGGAUAGCCUCUUUCUCUACAGGGAACUGAGUUGGGUUUGGAGCCCACAGGUGAGGGGCUGGGCGUUCAUCCUCAAGCGGUCAGAAAUGGAGUGGUUUCAGUUUGAGUUUGAAUUCGAUUCCUGUGCUUAAAGUAUAGCUGAGGUACAAUGUUUCUUCGAGUGGUCUUUGUCCACCAAGGGACCCACUCGCAGACAUUUCCCCGCGCUGUACCGCCAGCUCCCGUUCGUUGCCCAUCCAUUCCACACAGCACAGGUGGCAUCCACAGAGCAGCCCAGAGGCCCAUCCCCAUCCAUCCCAGGGCAGCCCCUUUCCCCCACCCCCACCCGCCAAGCCCAAGUGUGUGCUCCUUGCCCACCACCUGUUUCUGAUAUCUGGGGGUUAGUUGGUUGGUUGAUUGUUGGGUAGGCCUCCUGGUAGGUGGGGUUUUGGAUAGCAUCAUCCUGUUCUGCCGUUUAGAGUCCACCAAUACGUGAUCUCCUUAGGUAUUUGUCUUUUUCUUUCCUGCUUACUUCACUUAGUAUGAGAGUCUUUCGUUCCAGCCUUGCUGCAGCAGAUGGAAUUCAUUUGAUGCUUUUUCCUUGCUGUGUACUAUGCCGGUGCACAGAUGUCCCCAGGGUUUUGAAAUGCAUCCAUCUCUCAGUGGACCUUUAGGCUGUUUCCACAUCUUGGCUCUGAUGAAUAGUGCUGUGAUAGACAUAGGGGUGACUGUAUCUUCUUCAGUGAAAGUUUGGUCCUGUUAAAAUGGAGGUGUUUGGAGCCCUGCUUCAAUCUUUGUGUGGGUUGCCCCGUGUAGGUUUCUUGGCUCUGAGUCUUUCGAGUAGGGAGGCCUUCAUCCACCGGGCCUCACGGGGCCUACCCUUGCGGCACAAUCACAGAGCUCUCUGUCAUUGCCCCUGUGUGGUUGAGUGAGGUUGUGUGUGUGUGUGGGGGGGGGGGUGCGACAUUCGUGUUUGGCUUACAAUAUGACUAGUCAGCAUUGCUUCUACGGUGGCUGUGGCUCGACCCCUGGCCUGGGAACUUCCAUAUGCCGCAGGUGCGGCCACUUGUUUUGCGCUCCCGCUCGCCUCCCCGGCCCGCCCCGGGCCCUUUCGCCUCGCCUUUUGCCCCGGCUCGCCCGCUGCCUUCGCCUGCCUUUCCUGAGCCCACCUCCCGCGCCCCGCACCCCCGACACCCCUCGCCCCGCACCCCACUCACACAUGCGCUCCCACGUGCCCCCCCGCAACCCUCACCCACGCUCUCAGACCUGGCAAUGCUUUCUCUAGCCUCAAAGCGACCGACCCACAACGGCCUCCACCUGCCCUAAGUGCUGCUGCCUGAGCUUGCUUGUGCGUUUACUGCUAUCCCUCCCUACCUACCCGUAGCCUUCUGUGCCUUGAUCCACAGUUGGGGAAGUAACCCAAAAUGGUAUCUACUCCUAGUCUCAAACGUUAUUGACUCUGCAGUUAUCAUAUCAGGUUAUGUUCCCCUGAAGGCUUUACCAUUAGUGCUUUUCACCCAGAAUCCCUGCUCCUAUUCCAUUCCUCAGAUUUUCUUCCUCUUUUCUUUCCUUCCUCUGCCACAGGCUUCCUCCAGUUGGUCAGUCUCUUCCUUCCAGUGAAAUGCCUCUGAAUUGUCGUUUUGUAUCUUCUUGCUCUGUCUGCCCUUUUCCCCAAACACAGGAAAGAUUUCGAGGCCCAUUCCUUGACCCUGGGAAAGAGGCCAGAGGGAGGGGAUUGUGUUAGAGGUGAAGAAAGCCUAGUGUUUAAGAAAAGUGUUUAAUAAAAUGCUUCCAUCCAACCAAUAUGUUACCCCCUCGUCCCUCUGUAAGGUAACAGAUUUAGGCUCUUCUCCAAGAGUUCCAGGAGUUUUUCUAUUUGUUUGGUUGUUUAGUUUCUCUUCCUUUGUAGGGUUGUUGGUUUGUUUGUUGUUUCGUUGUCAGGUGGCUAGUAAUGACCGAAUUGUGUUAGAAGCACAGCAUGUGAGAAUGGCACCUGAGCUUAGAGGUGUUGGAUCUUUCCGCUUUGUUCUCAUUCCUGUCACUGGAUGUCUGUGGCUUUUGUUUAAACUCUAGGUACUGUAGACUGUCUCCACUUGAGGGGCCCUUUGUAAAGGAUCUGGCGCCGCUGAUUUCCUAGGGACCUCAUGGAUGGUAGGACCCCAUCCUCUAGGGAGCUGAGAGAGUAUCCCCUAGAUAGGAAGUAAGGAAACUGAGCACAUCCCCCCUGCCCUGCUGCCUCACUACCACUCAACACCCCCCCCCCCCCCCCCCCACAAUCCUGGUUUUGGAGCCCAAGCUGUCAAAUUCAUUCCUUUUUCUUUCUUUCUUUUUUUUUUUGUGUGUGUGUCUUUUUGCCAUUUCUUGGGCCUUUCCUGUGGCAUAUGGAGGCUCCCAGGCUAGGGGUCUAAUCGGAACCGUAGCCACCGGCCUACACCAGAGCCACAGCAACGCGGGAUCCGAUCCGCGUCUGCAACCUACACCACAGCUCACAGCAACGCCGGAUCGUUAACCCACUGAGCAGGGGCAGGGACCGAACCGGCAUCCUCAUGGUUCCUAGUCGGAUUUGUUAACCACUGCGCCACGAUGGGAACUCCUUUUUUUUUUUUUUUUGUCUUUUUGCUAUUUCUUUGGGCCGCUCCCAAGGCAUAUGGAGGUUCCCAGGCCAGGGGUCGAAACGGAGCUGUAGCCACUGGCCUACGCCAGAGCCACAGCAACGCGGGAUCCGUAGAGACUUUCUAUACACUAGGAACAUUUGGAGCCUCUCAGGAGUAGGAAACCCCAUUUGCAGCAGCGUGGAAGAUCCAAAAUACUUUGCGAUCAAUUUAAGGAGAUAUUCAAAAACCUAUAGUAAUGAAUAUUUGAAAUGUACUCUACCUUAAUCAGAGUAACACUUAAGCAGUAUUAGAGUUGGUUCAAUGCCUCCAAUGAGUUCAUUACUUGUUAUAACAAGGUCUUUCAUACCCUUCCAAACAGGCCAAGAAUUUCAUGAGAAUUUUGGGGUAGGAAGGGGUCUUGUGUAAAAAUGAACAUUUGUAGUUGAUACUCUCUUUCUGAAUCUUCUUUGUCUAUGUAGUAUUAGGCAGGUCUUGUUUUCUUCUGCUUUCAUGAAGAUUUUUCCUUUGUGAAGUGUUCUGAAAGAAUUGUGUAUACUUGUCUGAUUGUCUGCUUUCAUCUUCUGAAUGUAAAUGCUGAUAAGACAAGGAAUUUGCUGGCUUUGCCACUACAACAGGACGAACACUUGGAUGAAUGAUAGAAUGAAUAAGAAAACUCCUGGGUAUAAUUCUCCUUUGCAGAUUACCACCUUUGGCUAACAGAGAAUGAGUUCAAAAUUCAGAUUAGAGGUCCUAUGAAUAAUAAUUAUGCCGUUUCUUUGUAAGGCAGUAUCUCCUGAGAUUGACCUUAGCAACUCCCAAUGCUGGGUGUGGGCCUCAUAUGUCACUAGGGCUCAGAUUGCACAAAUGACUCACCAAAAUCACAUAGACACCACACACACACACACACACACACCCCUACCCCUGAGGCCUCAAAUCAAGGUCUUUGUCUCCAGAAUAUAUAUGCCAAGAGGACACAUGCCUCUGUGUCCUAUCCGCCAGUAUACUCUGGAUAAAUAAUAUGCAUAUAUUUGUUGAAGAAAUAACUGAAGAAACUCCUGGAUACAAUUCUCUUUCUGGGACUAGGGCAAAUUCUAAAACAUAGCAGCUUCUAGCCUCUUGCCCUCUCUGGCUUGUCUGUUCUGGCAUCAGGAGAGGCCAGUGCUUUGCUCCUUCUCCCCUCCCCCCGACCCCUUCCCUGGAGCCUGGGUCCCCCAGCCUCUAGUCCAGGAGCUGCACCCUCAGCCCAGGCAGACUCUUCUCCCAGCUUCCGCCAAGGCUUCACAGGGACUAAGUUUCGGCUUCUUCAGCUUGGUGUCAGAAACCUGUUAGAAACUUGCAGAGUCUCAGCUCCCAGUGGGGCCGAACCAGAAGCCACAUUUGAGCACUGUCCCGGGGUCCCAUUAGCAUUUGAGGGCUCUGAGCUGCCUUUAUCAAGCAUUCCGAUUUCUAUUUUGCUGGGGAAAUACCUGGGCCUUGGGGCCCCAUCAGCCUACUGGUCCUCCUGAAGCACUGCGAUCUCUUACUGGCGGUUUUGAGAGCUGGCUUUGGAAAGAGAACCAACGUCAGGAUCCUGUGAGUCACCCACUUGGCAAACAUUUAUUAAGCACUUAUGAUGUGCAAGGCCCAUGACAGGUCCUGAGGACACAAACAUGAUUAACACAGUGUAUAUCUCCCCUGCUGAAAAAAGCAGAGACACAGACUCCAUAGGUUGAUAAUAAAUGCUAGUCAGAAAGAGCACUUCUGGUAACAAAGUGUGAUGAUGUUGAAUAGGGAUGCGGGUGUUUAGAAAGAGUGAUUCAGGAAGUUCUCGCAGAGGAGUAGGUGUUUUUUCUAAGUCCCAGAGGUGGAAUGAGGAGCCAGCUCUGUUCUGCAUUGCGUUGAAGUGGAGGAGAGGGUGGGGCAGGGUGAGCAAAUGAUUUUUCACCUGAGGAAAAACACAAGUAUGUAGACCCAGCCCCAGGAAAGACGACUUGCACUGGACGAAGGAGAGAGGUCUGCUUGUGGCUUGAGGGCACAAUGAAGAGGGAGAGACAAAAAAGAUGGAAUUCUCUGUCUUGGCACAACGGGAACCAGUCCAACUAGUAUCCAUGAGGAUGAGGGUUGGAUCCCUGGCCUUGCUUAGUGGAUCAGGGAUCUGGUGUUUCUGUGAGCUGCGGCUCAGAUUUGGUCCCUGGCCUGGGAACUUACCUGUGCUGAGGGUGCAGCCC
RNAcentral lists this long non-coding RNA (5103 nucleotides) under Sus scrofa (pig). RNAcentral describes it as "lncRNA (ENSSSCG00030039211.1)". Lineage: Eukaryota; Metazoa; Chordata; Mammalia; Artiodactyla; Suidae. The record is from RNAcentral.